Molecule: small nuclear RNA, 126 nt
Organism: Jaculus jaculus (lesser Egyptian jerboa)
Lineage: Eukaryota; Metazoa; Chordata; Mammalia; Rodentia; Dipodidae
Source: Ensembl
GUGUUGUAUGAAUGAAGAUAAGGUUAGCACUCCCCUUGAAAAGGAUGGAAGAGACCCUCAUGCCUUACAACAUGCAUAUGGUUAAGGAAUUUCCAUCUACUUUGUGGCAUGCAACCACUGCUUUUA